GGGCACAAGAAGCUGGGAGGGAGCAGAGACAGGACACCUGACCCAAAUGGCCAAAGGGGUAUUCCAUACCAUAGCACACCAUGCCCACUAUACAAACUGGGGGAAGUUACCAGAAGG
Strigops habroptila (Kakapo) is the source of this 117-nucleotide long non-coding RNA. RefSeq lists it as uncharacterized. The record is from RefSeq and is a predicted model, not a curated record. The transcript has 3 exons. Lineage: Eukaryota; Metazoa; Chordata; Aves; Psittaciformes; Psittacidae.